This is a long non-coding RNA of Pleuronectes platessa (European plaice), 675 nucleotides long. RefSeq lists it as uncharacterized. NCBI's taxonomy places the organism in Eukaryota, Metazoa, Chordata, Actinopteri, Pleuronectiformes, Pleuronectidae. The record is from RefSeq and is a predicted model, not a curated record. The transcript is spliced from 3 exons.
GUCGCGGGACGGGCUGCUGCUGAGACAGAAACUUAAAAUGGAUAAUAAGAGUAAAAAACGCCCGGAUGGCGCUGAGAAGCAUCGGGAAAAAAAGCCUAAGUCUCUGGAGGUGGAGGCUGCUAAAUGUGCCAAACUGACGGACCUAUUUGGUGCCGGGUUCACCAGCCCAGCAGCAGCAGGUGCGCCGGGAGACGAGCGAGGAGGACUCGACAAUGAUGAGCGAGUGGAGGCAGACAUGUUGACCACUUGACAUGUGAGAGCCUGAGGAGUUGUUCCCCCUCUGUCCAUGUUCGAGGACUUGCUCUCUGUCUGCCUCCACUCUCUGCCUUCACUGUACCAACGUUUGUCUGUUGAGUCUCCUCUAGUCUGGUUGACCACUUGACAUGUGAGAGUCUGAGGAGUUGUUUUCCAGACACAGGUAGAGCUGGCAGGGGCGUCACCCUGGGCCUGCCCUUUUGGGCUGGGCUUCAGCUGCAGAUCUAAAGGCUGCUUCCAGGGGCAUGGGGCCCUCAGCCUUUGUUUUUCUUUGCUUCUGCACCUUACAACAUACAUCACACCUUAUUUUCACACAUCCAAACACUGUUAACACCACUGACGUGUAACAUAUUUUACACAUCCCACUACGUAGUUAGAGCUAUCUUGAUUUGGAGUUAAAUAAAUUUACUUUUGGCUUGA